RNAcentral lists this ribosomal RNA (269 nucleotides) under uncultured bacterium. RNAcentral's name for it is "partial 16S ribosomal RNA". It matches the Rfam family "Bacterial small subunit ribosomal RNA", at positions 87 to 354 of the family's 1533-position model. The record is from RNAcentral.
UUAUUUUAGCGGCGGACGGGUGAGUAACGUGUGGGUAACCUGCCUUUUACUGUGGAAUAAUCGUUGGAAACGACGACUAAUACCGCAUACGAUUUUCUGAAGGCAUCUUUGGGAAAAGAAAGGAAAUAUUCGGUAAAAGAUGGGCCCGCAUCUGAUUAGCUAGUUGGUGAGAUAAUAGCCCACCAAGGCAACGAUCAGUAGCCGACCUGAGAGGGUGACCGGCCACAUUGGGACUGAGACACGGCCCAAACUCCUACGGGAGGCAGCAG